Molecule: non-coding RNA, 93 nt
Organism: Aaosphaeria arxii CBS 175.79
Lineage: Eukaryota; Fungi; Ascomycota; Dothideomycetes; Pleosporales
Source: the annotation of a RefSeq genome assembly
GGUGGUAUGGUCUAGUGGUAUGACGUCACGUUGUGGUUGUUUCAUUAUAACUUCAAAUCCGUGCCAGCCUGGGUUCGAUUCCCAGUACCGCCA